AGGCUGUGUGACACUUUCCAGAAAGGAACACACUUGAACACAGACAAGGGAGCUUGCCCGUACUAAGGAAGUAUUGCUAUUAGUAAUAUCAAAAGGAUUGAAUGUUACAGAGGUAGCUCAUGACAAUUCACCGCCUGUAACAUCAUAUAUUGUUGAAGAGUUAAAGCUAAAAAAACUCAUGGCAUGGACUAAGAAUGUAGCGAAAGCAAUGACGUCUGUAGAAACAAGAGCAAAGAAAAGGGCAGGUAUAACUUGGUAUCCAGAACUGUCAGGUAAGAGUAAGGGACAAUGGAAAAUGAUAUGAUUACAUGUAUCAUAAGAAAGAGUACAAAGACACAUCUGUACUACAGUAUGAAUAACUGUAGUAAGUCUCCAGAGAAUCUGCAACACUCAGUACCAAAUAUUGUUGAUCAUUAUCAAGUCCUCCAGCUGUAGACAUCCUGGGUAUGCACCAUCAAAGAAGCUAAUAAUUGACCACAAUGCAGUCGAAGCAUACACUAUGAAGUUAAAGCAAACCUUGAUAUAUGUAAAUGCUGAAUCAUACUUACUGUUUGUGGCUGGAUACAUUUUGGGUGGAGUCUUUCAAGCAUCAUCUACUCACUUAUCUCCCUAAAAGGAUUCAUUUUGGUACUACAACCUUCAGAAUGACAAUCAAUAUAGCAGUUAUGGACUGGGUAAGACUGGUAUAUACUAAUACUGUUCUAAAAGUGACAUUCGUGUAACAAAAAUGUCAAAAGACCACAUACAAUUGAGCGACAUAUCUUUGACAUUGGAAGACCAGAUGGGCAUACACUAUUCAAGACGUUAGUUGAGAAGACUUUGCUCAUAAUGUGUGGAAGGUAUAUUUGCAGAAAAAUCAAGUAGACAUAAGGCCUAAUGAAACAGUUGAUGAAGUGUCAAUUUGUAAGGUUCUUGAUGAUGAUGAUGAAGACAUUUUUCUGAAUGGCGAUGGGUAGAUGAGUUAGAUGAUGAACAGGAAGGCCAUUGAAGUAUACUUGCAACUGUUAUUGAUGUCAUUGUUUCUUGCUACAUUUUGUAAAUUUUGAAGUGUUGAGGUGAUUGUUGUGAGCCCACAAGUUAUACAGGCUUGGACGUAUUUAAGAAAAGGAAUUACAUGAUGGCUGGAAGUCUGGGUACAGGAUGCCUGGUGGAUUAGGGUAGCACCUUCUCAGUUCCUAUUACACAUAAUCAGUUAUUAGUCAGACUUAUAUUAUUAUAUGACUCACAGUAACAAUGCAAACGGGCAUUACCUCCCUCUUGUCAUCAUCACUGGAGGUGAAGGCUUGCUUCAGUGCCACAUACUGAGGCUCCUUCCAUAUUUUGAGCCUCACAAGGAGUGACCAAACUUCUGGUAUAGGGAGUACCUUUUAGUGGCAUUGGAGAGACAGGGGCCAGCACUGCCCCUGAGCCAUGAUGGUGGUUUUUCAAUGAAACGUAGCAUUACAAACUUGGCAGUGCGGAAACGUGGCAGUGUGGACAUGCAUUGUCCCCGCCAAGUACUGGAGGCUCGUCACCAUCCCCUUAUCCAUUCAGCCCUAUUA
Amphimedon queenslandica is the source of this 1541-nucleotide long non-coding RNA. RefSeq lists it as uncharacterized. The record is from RefSeq and is a predicted model, not a curated record. NCBI's taxonomy places the organism in Eukaryota, Metazoa, Porifera, Demospongiae, Haplosclerida, Niphatidae. The transcript is spliced from 8 exons.